GGGCCAGCGCGGCAGGACAGCGGGCCCUGCAGGUCGGGCGGCUGGUGCCUUACGGCGCGGGAGGCGGGCAGCGGGAGACUGGCAGCGCGCUGCCCCGGACCCCUGGCGGGGCAGGUAGGGACCCCGGGGGUCGCCUCCUCCCUGGUCCGACUGCUCCCCAGGCCGCACGUCCGAAGACCCGAGGCGAGGGCCGCGCAAGCCGCCGGGAGGGCGCGCGACCCGGCGCCCUCCCGGGUCGCCAAGUCCUCGGAGCCGGUGCCUAUACACUGGGACCGUGGGUUCCUUGCCUGAGGAGCCCCAGCAUCUUGGGGACUCCGCGGUCACCGGCAGGGUCGGGGUUCGGUGGCACCACGCCUACCCCCCCUGGGGCUGCUGAAGGGACGGAGGUUUCAGGAAGGUGGCACUCGAAGAGCACAGAGCCGUUCGGAAGCCCGGGCCAUGCAGAGCGGGACGGAGCGCCCCUGCCCGGGACUCGGCGUGGAGCACCGCGCGCACUCGUGGUGGCGCUUCUCCGCCUCAAAGCACUAUUCCGCCCCCAGAGGCGUCGCGCGAACGGUGGAAGCCUCUGGAGCCGAAGGGAGGGUCCGGGAUGAGUCACGCAGACCCUGGCCCGCAAGGACGAGCGGCUGAGUCACCAUCCAAACUUCUGAGCCUGGCCCAGCUCCUCUGUAAACUGAGCAAGGGGCUGAGGGGACACGACGUGCCCAUCUGCCGCGCUUCCGCGGCCGGGCGGGACCGGCUGGGCGCGGAGCCCGGGAAACCCAGAAGCGCCGGCCUGCGGGCCCAACAUGACCCGGGAGCUGGCGGCUGCUAGCGACAGCCACGACUCUGAGGAACUUCUUCCUCACACCGCCUUUCCGCCUUCCCCAUCCCUAACGGGCCCCACCUCUCCUUUUCUCCUCUUUUCUGAGGAAACUCGGGGCAGCCUAACUCUGACCUCGCCGCGGAGAGGGCGCGCGGAGAUAGACGAAUUUGCGUAGCGCCCGUGGCGCAUGCUCCGUGGUUUGGGCGGGGAGACUGCCUUAAGGGUGGGUCUGCUGAUUGGUCGGUGUGCACAGGCCACGCCCACCGCCUGCUGAUAGACAGCUCCUUACCUGCGCGCGCGGGGGCACGGUGGACCCCGCCUUCAGGGGAAUCUCCCGUGCCUGUGCUACCUAAGUGCACUGAGGCCUCCUAGCAGACGUCAGCUCCGAAGGAGGCCGCCCGUGGCGUCCCACUCUGCCAGAAAGUCAAAUACCGGAAUCUUAAAGUGGGAAAACUACCAAUCUAGUGUAGAAAGCAAAACACCACCGUUCAGGACUUAAUGGGCAGGUCUGGCCCAUAAUAAGCCUGGAGUUUAGGCAUGCAGUCAGUACUCAAUAAAUGCUUGCUGGAUUGGAUUGUUUUCCCAGUGCUCUGGGAUGCAGGAUGUAGCACUAAGUGAGCCUGACAGGCUGGAAGAUAAACAAAACAAUCGUGUGAUUAUAAAAACAAUUACUAACCCAUUUCCUUUACUGCGAAAUGAGGGAGUGGCCUAGACGUGAACCAGGCUGCUUCUGUUCCAGGAGUAGGGCUGGGUGACCCCAACAGGCAGAAGGCACUGCUUUCAUGGGGAGCUUGUGCUGCUUGAUAUGACCAUGCCCAUCUCAUAUAUACACCUCUGGGCUCCAUGGGAUAUGUCAGUUCGGUUCUUACCUGAACUGUUAGGUGCUAGUCUGAGAAUCCUAAAUUUUUAACCUUUGAGCUUCUGACUCCUGAAGAAGUUCCAGAUAGCAUAAAUCUUUGCCCCACUGUGUUACCUUGACUCUCUAAACCGCAUCUACUUCCAUAGACUGCAAAUAGAUUAUUUUUUUAUUAUUAAAAACAACAGAAGCACACAAUGUGGGUUUUUUUCCCUUCCUUUCCUUUUUUUGCUUUGUUUUGUUUAAGAAAUAUAUGAACACAGAAAAGAGCACGUAUAUCUGGAAAGUGAAGAGUUUACCCAUUUCUACUACUCCUAAAUUCUGUGCUUGCUUACUGACUCAUUAUAUUCUAGAAUUGGCAGAUUUUCAUUUAGGAAGCAGGGGAUGAUGCGUGGUGCUGACAGUAGUCACUGACAAUGCCUAAACAAGGACAAGUUCUGACAGAGAAGGAGGUAUGGAAAUGUGAACUAAGCCCAGGAAGACUGAUUUUCCCAGCAACUUAGAGCAGAGCCUCUUCUUCCCGGUGGAGUUAACAAAUGGGACAUUUCUUAGGUUUAACUUUGAGCAGAAAUUUGGUCCUUACACUUUUGGGUUGAAUUGUGUCCCCCCAAAAGACAUACUGAAGUUCUAACUUCAGUACCCGUGAAUGUGACCUUAUUUGAAAAUAGGGUCUUUGCAGAUGUUACCAAGUUACAAUGAGGUCAUAUUGGACCAGUAUAACAGGUGUCCUUAUAAGAAGAGAAGAGACAGACACAGAGAGAAGGCUUUGUGAUGACAAAGGCAGAGACUGGAAUGAUGCAUCUACAAGCUAAGGAACACCAAGGAUUGCUGGCACCCACCAGAAGCUGGAUGAAACAGGAUUCUUCCUUUGAGCCUUUGGAGAGAGCAUUGCCCUGCUGAUGUCUUAAUUUUGGAUUUCUAGCCUCCAGAACUGUUAGAGAAUAAAUUUCUUGUUCUAAGAGACCCAGUUUGUGGUACAGCAGUCCUCAGAAAGUAAUACACUUACCAAAGUCUGGUUUUUUGUUUGUUUUGUUUUGUUUUGUUUUGUUAUCCCCGCCAGUGUGGACCUAUAAUUGUGAGUUCUUACUGCAUCAAGUCCUGGAGAGAGGCUGUCACACCUUUACAGAAGGAGGAGCAUCAGCUCCAGGUGAGGAUGCUGCAUGGAAUGGGGAGGAUGGUGUUUAAAGUGUGGUGGAAGAUAAACCCAUCUACUAUAGCUUGAGGGAGUAACCCCGUUUUUGUUUUACCAAAACUGUAGGAAGAAAGCUUUCCUUUUUGCCAAGGAUGAUACUAGUAGGUAGUGGAGAUGAAAUAUAACUGCAGCCAGUUUUGAAAAUUUGCAUAUAAAUGACUGUACAACACCCAAAUAUUUAUAAUUCAAGCAUUAUCUAUGUUUUAAUGAUAACCUCUUAACUGCAUCAUUUCCUUGUCAGGUUUGCUUUAGGAUUUGUAUGUGUCUUAAUAAUACCUAAUUAGUUUAAAAUCUCUUACAGGUGUAUCCUGAAAGAGCACAUCUGUUUUUAGCCUAAAUAAAAAGUAACCUGUAAAGAGCAGUCAGUCCUGUGUUAGCAUCCAGGGAAGGGCAAAGGGAGCUUUCAUUCUUUAUUUUUGCAUUGAUUGAAUUUUUUUUAAAUAAGCAUCUUUUAGUUUUGUACUUCAUUUUUUUUCCUAUGAAAGCUGAACCCUUUAUUUUAUUUUAAAAAAUACGUUGAAUCCUUUUGUAUACAAGGCCUUACUAGGCGUCAAAUUUUAUAACAAUAAAAUUCUGAAGUUUCUA
RNAcentral lists this long non-coding RNA (3438 nucleotides) under Phocoena sinus (vaquita). Its description in RNAcentral is "lncRNA (ENSPSNG00000021789.1)". Lineage: Eukaryota; Metazoa; Chordata; Mammalia; Artiodactyla; Phocoenidae. The record is from RNAcentral.